Molecule: ribosomal RNA, 253 nt
Filed under: uncultured bacterium
Lineage: Bacteria
Description: partial 16S ribosomal RNA
Rfam family: Bacterial small subunit ribosomal RNA
Source: RNAcentral
UACGUAGGGUGCGAGCGUUGUCCGGAAUUAUUGGGCGUAAAGAGCUCGUAGGCGGUUUGUCGCGUCGACUGUGAAAACCCGAGGCUUAACCUCGGGCCUGCAGUCGAUACGGGCAGACUAGAGUUCGGUAGGGGAGACUGGAGUUCCUGGUGUAGCGGUGAAAUGCGCAGAUAUCAGGAGGAACACCGGUGGCGAAGGCGGGUCUCUGGGCCGAUACUGACGCUGAGGAGCGAAAGCGUGGGGAGCGAACAGG